CCUCCCUGUCGUCCCCAGCAAAGGAGGCUGGGAUCCAGACCUCCGGCUCGGCCGGAGGCACACCUCGGAGGCAGCAGCGCAGCUCCCUAACCAUAGAUCGAAGGGGCCGUCGUCAUCGUCCUCAGCCAGCACGAGCCGCCGUCAUCGCCCUCAGCUGAGCCGCCACCAAACCCUAGAAAAGGGUGACCCUUAAGUGAGCCUCCUCUCCUGCAUCCUCUGCCCAUGCCUUUUCAUGGGUCUCACCCCUACGUCAUACUCAGAGGCAAGUACGCACACACACAGAGAGAUGAACAGGGAAGAGGAGGGGUGAGCCUGACUUUUACAGAUUCGGUGUAGUCAAACAAACACUUCGUUCGUUGACUAGCCACUGCCAUCAUCAAAAAGAAGUUCUUGAUCUAUCUCGAAUACAUGAUGUUUACCUCUCCGUGGAUGGACUUCGCUGUUGUGGAUGUCACUCCGAAGUCGCACAGCUGAGGAACUAUGGUUGACCUCAUGCACAUUCGCGUUCAAUGUUCAGAUACUGGGCAGAGGGCGCUCACCACGGUCGAUCGGGGGCCCACUGUCCCUGUAGCUUCACCUAUGUGCGCUUCUACAGGGCACAACUAAUAGCUUGCUCUAUCUAUUCUGUCUUGCCAUAUCGCCUAACCAAAAUGGACUACGUUGUCAUCACAAGUCCUUGUGGGCUGGAUAUAGUGGUGGCAACAUGAUGGAGUGCCGGUAUUUGAUAGUUUGCUUUGUUGCCUUCAAGUACUGUGGUGCAUAAGCAAAGACAAAGACAUGGUAACUUCUUUCGUUCUAAGGACUUUUUGGUAAGACUAUGAAUUUACAGUAGGGGACUUAUUAAGCGUUUGGAGGUUUUUUCUUUGCCUUUGUGUUGUUAGUUGGUUUCACCAACUAUUAGUCCAAUGUACAUAUAAUUUAUGUGCAGCAACUGAUUUUUGGUUUGCCUUUGUGUUGUUAGUUGAUUCUGCCAAGUGCAAGUCCAAACUCCAUAUGAGCUCCUCCUACCUAUAUGUUUUUUCCUCUAUUGCAAUUUGUUAUUAGAAUAAUUUAUGAGCUUUCUAUAAUUAUUUAUGAUCUAUGUAGGAUCUUGGGGGAUAGUUAUAUGAGUCGACAAGGCUGCAGCAAGGUCAAAAACAAGGAGGACAUAGCGGAAUGGAACGAAGAAAAAGGCUGCCGGAGAUGCAAAAUUAAUACAUCAUGUUGGGUCCUGGUUCUUUUUUAGUUACAUAUGCAAAAGGAUUGGGAAAAAGGCUUUGAUGUUGAUGUUGUUGUUGUGCAAAAGGGUUGGCAUGACCGUGAUAUUGACAAUUUUCAAAGGUGCUGCUUUGUUAUAUUUGUUUACUUUGCUUAUAAAAUUCACAAUGUGUGCAUCAACACUGGGCUUGGUGAUGCGGCUCAGGCACAGGCUGGAUGGCCUUGUUUCCAAGAUUGAUGUGUCAUCGGAGGUGGUACACCUGAUGAGUAUUAGUAUAGUGCAGUACGAGUGAUUUUGAUUAUUUACUCCUGAGUACUGUACAAAUAUGAGAGAUAUUCAUGCAUCUCAUAUUAUUGAAGAAUUCCUCGAUGAGCAUACUUUAAACCGUGAUGUUCUCUUCAACCCAAGAAUAAAUUUUGAUUCGCUGACUAGACGAGCAAGGUAACCAAGCCGAGGAGAGACCUGUUGAUUUGGACUUGCAGGAGCAUGUCUCAGAUGGCUUCACUAUGGUGCCCACAUUAUCGGGAUUUUUGGAUAUAUUCAAUAGUCGAGCUGAUUGAAGUGUACUAUUGCAACUUGUGUGUAUGUGUUCACCAAUGCUGCAGUAGGUAAAUGAAUUUUAAUUGGCAUACACAUUAGAAGAAAUCAAUGUGUUUCACAAUGAAAUAUGCUUUACAAGUGCAUGCUGAAAGAUAUUUUCUUUGAACUUACUGUUUGCAAAUUCUCAGAUAGGGAUAUAUUGCGAUUUUGAGUAUAUCAGGCAGUUUUCUGUCGUUUCCUUAGCCUACCAUAUUCAGCACAGAGAAUGAAUGCUUAUAUCUACACUGUUAUUUCACACAAAACAAUUUUGAUUGUAGAUUUAUUAGUAGCGAGCUAGGCCAGUAUGACCUUUCGUAAACUGCAGGUAUAUAGAGCCAGUGGGAGAUAGGGAGGUUGCCAAAGAUGGACCUAGGACCAGGAGACUCUUUAACUUUCAACGGAGCAUAACCAAAUUAAAAGGCAUGGAUCUUAUUGUGCAGAACUCGGUUGAGUUUGUGAAAGUGAAGUGACUCUUUGUGCAUAUUAUUUAGUCCGAAUAUUUCCAUCAAUAUACGCGUGGUCAGGGCUGAUUAUCUAAAUUUUAGUGUAGGAGCAAUGACCAUGUUUAAGCAACCUAUCCAUCCUUCUUAUGACUAUUGCAUGCAUUUACUCAUAUUAGAAGCUGCACCGCUUUCAAGUACAAUGUGAUCCUCUUAGACAAUGUUCAGUUUCGACAGUGUCAUGCGUACAUAACCUAUACUUCCUAUUGGUAGUUGCUUCCACGAUGUUAAGGGAUGCUCCACUUGCAAACACGAUGUAAGCGGUUUAGGCACUGUCGUAUUUAUAUUAUCUGUACUUCUACUUAGUGAUAUGCUCCUGGUUUAGCCACAGUCAGCAUUCAAUUUCGUGCAGCUUGUGCUGCUAUGUAAGGGUAUGGCCAAUCAGUCUACUGAUAAGUGUAAAACUGUAAAACUCGGUUGUAGCUAUUUAUGCAUUGAAAAAAUAGUGAAUCCCUUUAUGGUUGCUUAGUAUAUAUACCAGGUUAAGGUCCAGGUCCAGUCAUUUUUUGUUUAUGAAAAAUAAAAUGCUCCUACUUUAGGACUUGUAUGUUGUUGUUUGUUACUGUAAUUGUCUAUUUGUAUUCUGAUGUACUUAUGCCUAUAGACCGGAAAGAAAGCAAUGAGGUAUGUUUGAGAGAAAAAUUGAGUAGGGAUACAGUUGUAAUAUGGAGAUAUGUCAUGUUCAGCAAGUCUGUUCUUGAUCUCCGUGAGGGAAAGCUGGUGAUUCCUACUUGUAUAGAUAUUCUGGAUGCUCUCUUGGUUCACAUUAAGGGUGAUCCAAUUUCGGCCAUUAUCUCUUUGGUUUAUAUAGAUUUUGCCAACUAUCAAAAUUCUAUGUAUAUAUUUUGGCACCUACAAAUGAUUUGACUGAAGAGAUCAACACCCAUGUCUUACACAUGGUAUCUACCAAAGUCAGACCAGCAGACCCAGAGAUCACACGAUAGACCAUAUUUUUCACCUGCGGAGGUCAGGGUCUGCCCUGUCACUUAUUGAUAGUCAUGGAUAAAACAAGCGGAUAGGAAAUUGACGUAGCUCUAAUUUCUUUUCAUGAUCAGAUGGUGAUCAAUCCAUUGAGUGAGCUCACCCUGGGCUGGUUGUAGCAUCACUAUGGAGGAACCGAUGAUGGUCCCAUAAAAUACACUGACAUAGUGUUUCAGGACAAACAUGUGUGGUAUAUGGUGUCUAAAGAGAGCCCCAAAGUCGCCCGAGCCAGGGAGACAUGUUGCUUUGGCUUGAGCACAACACAAGGUCUGACUGAGUUCAAGUGUGAGAGCAGCAGUAAAAAUAAUUGGGUUCAUGGUGUACAAAAUCUGCUCCAGCAGGUUGUGGUUAAUGUAACUGAUCUGGUAGGACACCAGCUAGAAACACUAAAACUCAAUACAUGAAUACAACAUGGCAGUAUCAAGAAUGGAUUUCCAUUCCAGUUUGAGGCAUGAGUUUAAUAGAGAUAUGGGUUUGUAAUCAUUUACCCCUGUAGGAGAUUUUUUUUUAGAUUAAUGUUAUUAGAUAGUUAAUUAUACUGCCCAA
Molecule: long non-coding RNA, 3804 nt
Organism: Lolium rigidum
Lineage: Eukaryota; Viridiplantae; Streptophyta; Magnoliopsida; Poales; Poaceae
Exons: 9
Source: RefSeq, a predicted model, not a curated record